RNAcentral lists this small RNA (117 nucleotides) under Marmota monax (woodchuck). Lineage: Eukaryota; Metazoa; Chordata; Mammalia; Rodentia; Sciuridae. The record is from RNAcentral.
GCUAGGUGUGGUGGUGCACCCCUGUAAUCCCAGCGAUGCCGGAGGCUGAGGCAGGAGGAUCAAAGCUAGUCUCAGCAACAUUGAGGCACUAAACAACUCAGUGAGACCCUGUCUCUA